GACGAACGCUGGCGGCGUGCUUAACACAUGCAAGUCGAACGGAAAGGCCCUGCUUGCAGGGUACUCGAGUGGCGAACGGGUGAGUAACACGUGGGUGAUCUGCCCUGCACUUCGGGAUAAGCCUGGGAAACUGGGUCUAAUACCGGAUAGGAGCCAUUUUUAGUGUGAUGGUUGGAAAGUUUUUUCGGUGUAGGAUGAGCUCGCGGCCUAUCAGCUUGUUGGUGGGGUAAUGGCCUACCAAGGCGGCGACGGGUAGCCGGCCUGAGAGGGUGGACGGCCACAUUGGGACUGAGAUACGGCCCAGACUCCUACGGGAGGCAGCAGUGGGAAAUAUUGCACAAUGGGCGCAAGCCUGAUGCAGCGACGCCGCGUGGGGGAUGACGGCCUUCGGGUUGUAAACUCCUUUCGCUAGGGACGAAGCUUUUUGUGACGGUACCUAGAUAAGAAGCACCGGCUAACUACGUGCCAGCAGCCGCAGUAA
This 481-nucleotide ribosomal RNA is filed under the name uncultured bacterium. RNAcentral describes it as "partial 16S ribosomal RNA". It matches the Rfam family "Bacterial small subunit ribosomal RNA", at positions 28 to 523 of the family's 1533-position model. The record is from RNAcentral.